GCCCAGAUAGCUCAAUUGGUUAGAGCAUAGUGCUGUAAAUGCCAAGGUUGCAAGUUUGAUCCCCUUAUGGGGCA
Molecule: transfer RNA, 74 nt
Filed under: Podarcis lilfordi (Lilford's wall lizard)
Lineage: Eukaryota; Metazoa; Chordata; Lepidosauria; Squamata; Lacertidae
Description: tRNA.Tyr
Source: RNAcentral